UACGGAGGAUCCAAGCGUUAUCCGGAUUUAUUGGGUUUAAAGGGUGCGUAGGCGGAUUGAUAAGUUAGAGGUGAAAUGUCCGAGCUUAACUCGGGAACUGCCUCUAAUACUGUUGAUCUAGAGAGUAGAUGCGGUAGGCGGAAUGUAUGGUGUAGCGGUGAAAUGCUUAGAGAUCAUACAGAACACUGAUUGCGAAGGCAGCUUACCAAUCUAUAUCUGACGUUGAGGCACGAAAGCGUGGGGAGCAAACAGG
Molecule: ribosomal RNA, 253 nt
Filed under: uncultured bacterium
Lineage: Bacteria
Description: partial 16S ribosomal RNA
Rfam family: Bacterial small subunit ribosomal RNA
Source: RNAcentral